UGGGGAAUAUUGCACAAUGGGCGAAAGCCUGAUGCAGCAACGCCGCGUGAGUGAUGACGGUCUUCGGAUUGUAAAGCUCUGUCUUUGGGGACGAUAAUGACGGUACCCAAGGAGGAAGCCACGGCUAACUACGAGCCAGCAGCCGCGGUAAUACGUAGGUGGCAAGCGUUGUCCGGAUUUACUGGGCGUAAAGGGUGCGUAGGCGGACCUUUAAGUGAGAUGUGAAAUCCCCGAGCUUAACUUGGGGGCUGCAUUUCAAACUGGAGGUCUAGAGUGCAGGAGAGGAGAGUGGAAUUCCUAGUGUAGCGCUGAAAUGCGUAGAGAUUAGGAAGCGCACCAGUAGCGAAGGCGACUCUCUGGACUGUAACUGACGCUGAGGCACGAAAGCGUGGGGAGCAAA
RNAcentral lists this ribosomal RNA (400 nucleotides) under uncultured bacterium. RNAcentral describes it as "bacterial SSU rRNA". It matches the Rfam family "Bacterial small subunit ribosomal RNA", at positions 355 to 772 of the family's 1533-position model. The record is from RNAcentral.